GACGAACCGUGCGAACGUUGUUCGGAUUCACUGGGCUUAAAGGGCGCGUAGGCGGGCUCGCAAGUCGGGGGUGAAAUCCUGGAGCUCAACUCCAGAACUGCCUUCGAUACUGGCGAUCUCGAGUUCGGGAGAGGUGAGUGGAACUGCGAGUGUAGAGGUGAAAUUCGUAGAUAUUCGCAAGAACACCAGUGGCGAAGGCGGCUCACUGGCCCGAUACUGACGCUGAGGUGCGAAAGCGUGGGGAGCAAACAGG
Molecule: ribosomal RNA, 253 nt
Filed under: uncultured prokaryote
Description: partial 16S ribosomal RNA
Rfam family: Bacterial small subunit ribosomal RNA
Source: RNAcentral